CGCACGGUGGUCUAGCGGUUAGAACUUUGGCCUUGUAAUCCUGGGGUCUCGGGUUCGAUUCCCGGUGGUGCCC
Molecule: non-coding RNA, 73 nt
Organism: Zootermopsis nevadensis
Lineage: Eukaryota; Metazoa; Arthropoda; Insecta; Blattodea; Termopsidae
Source: Rfam